UGGGGGAUAUUGCACAAUGGGCGAAAGCCUGAUGCAGCGACGCCGCGUGGGGGAUGAAGGCCGUCGGGUUGUAAACUUCUUUUGCUCUGAACAAGGCAUGCUAAUGGGUGUGUUGAGUGUAGGGGUUGAUUAGCGCCGGCUAACUACGUGCCAGCAGCCGCGGUAAUACGUAGGGCGCGAGCGUUGUCCGGAAUUAUUGGGCGUAAAGGGCUUGUAGGUGGCUGGUUGCGUCUGUCGUGAAAGCUCAUGGCUUAACUGUGGGUUUGCGGUGGGUACGGGCUGGCUUGAGUGCAGUAGGGGAGGCUGGAAUUCCUGGUGUAGCGGUGGAAUGCGCAGAUAUCAGGAGGAAUACCGGUGGCGAAGGCGGGUCUCUGGGCUGUUACUGACACUGAGGAGCGAAAGCAUGGGGAGCGAACAGG
Molecule: ribosomal RNA, 419 nt
Filed under: bacterium
Lineage: Bacteria
Description: partial 16S ribosomal RNA
Rfam family: Bacterial small subunit ribosomal RNA
Source: RNAcentral